GACGAACGCUGGCGGCGUGCUUAACACAUGCAAGUCGAACGGAAAGGCCCUGCUUUUGUGGGGUGCUCGAGUGGCGAACGGGUGAGUAACACGUGAGUAACCUGCCCUUGACUUUGGGAUAACUUCAGGAAACUGGGGCUAAUACCGGAUAGGAGCUCCUGCUGCAUGGUGGGGGUUGGAAAGUUUCGGCGGUUGGGGAUGGACUCGCGGCUUAUCAGCUUGUUGGUGGGGUAGUGGCUUACCAAGGCUUUGACGGGUAGCCGGCCUGAGAGGGUGACCAGCCACAUUGGGACUGAGAUACGGCCCAGACUCCUACGGGAGGCAGCAGUGGGGAAUAUUGCACAAUGGGCGGAAGCCUGAUGCAGCAACGCCGCGUGCGGGAUGACGGCCUUCGGGUUGUAAACCGCUUUCGCCUGUGACGAAGCGUGAGUGACGGUAAUGGGUAAAGAAGCACCGGCUAACUACGUGCCAGCAGCCGCGGUGAUACGUAGGGUGCGAGCGUUGUCCGGAUUUAUUGGGCGUAAAGGGCUCGUAGGUGGUUGAUCGCGUCGGAAGUGUAAUCUUGGGGCUUAACCCUGAGCGUGCUUUCGAUACGGGUUGACUUGAGGAAGGUAGGGGAGAAUGGAAUUCCUGGUGGAGCGGUGGAAUGCGCAGAUAUCAGGAGGAACACCAGUGGCGAAGGCGGUUCUCUGGGCCUUUCCUGACGCUGAGGAGCGAAAGCGUGGGGAGCGAACAGGCUUAGAUACCCUGGUAGUCCACGCUGUAAACGGUGGGUACUAGGUGUGGGGUCCAUUCCACGGGUUCCGUGCCGUAGCUAACGCUUUAAGUACCCCGCCUGGGGAGUACGGCCGCAAGGCUAAAACUCAAAGGAAUUGACGGGGCCCCGCACAAGCGGCGGAGCAUGCGGAUUAAUUCGAUGCAACGCGUAGAACCUUACCUGGGUUUGACAUGGAUCGGGAGUGCUCAGAGAUGGGUGUGCCUCUUUUGGGGUCGGUUCACAGGUGGUGCAUGCCUGUCGUCAGCUCGUGUCGUGAGAUGUUGGGUUAAGUCCCGCAACGAGCGCAACCCUUGUUCACUGUUGCCAGCACGUUAUGGUGGGGACUCAGUGGAGACCGCCGGGGUCAACUCGGAGGAAGGUGGGGAUGACGUCAAGUCCUCAUGCCCCUUAUGUCCAGGGCUUCACGCAUGCUACAAUGGCUGGUACAGAGAGUGGCGAGCCUGUGAGGGUGAGCGAAUCUCGGAAAGCCGGUCCCAGUUCGGAUUGGGGUCUGCAACUCGACCUCAUGAAGUCGGAGUCGCUAGUAAUCGCAGAUCAGCAACGCUGCGGUGAAUACGUUCCCGGG
Molecule: ribosomal RNA, 1343 nt
Filed under: uncultured bacterium
Lineage: Bacteria
Description: 16S ribosomal RNA
Rfam family: Bacterial small subunit ribosomal RNA
Source: RNAcentral